AGUGAACGCUGGCGGUAGGCCUAACACAUGCAAGUCGAACGGCAGCACAGUAAGAGCUUGCUCUUACGGGUGGCGAGUGGCGGACGGGUGAGGAAUACAUCGGAAUCUACUUUUUCGUGGGGGAUAACGUAGGGAAACUUACGCUAAUACCGCAUACGACCUACGGGUGAAAGCAGGGGAUCUUCGGACCUUGCGCGAUUGAAUGAGCCGAUGUCGGAUUAGCUAGUUGGCGGGGUAAAGGCCCACCAAGGCGACGAUCCGUAGCUGGUCUGAGAGGAUGAUCAGCCACACUGGAACUGAGACACGGUCCAGACUCCUACGGGAGGCAGCAGUGGGGAAUAUUGGACAAUGGGCGCAAGCCUGAUCCAGCCAUACCGCGUGGGUGAAGAAGGCCUUCGGGUUGUAAAGCCCUUUUGUUGGGAAAGAAAAGCAGCAGGUUAAUAACCCGAUGUUCUGACGGUACCCAAAGAAUAAGCACCGGCUAACUUCGUG
This 492-nucleotide ribosomal RNA is filed under the name uncultured bacterium. RNAcentral describes it as "partial 16S ribosomal RNA". It matches the Rfam family "Bacterial small subunit ribosomal RNA", at positions 29 to 507 of the family's 1533-position model. The record is from RNAcentral.